GACGAACGCUGGCGGCGUGCCUAAUACAUGCAAGUAGAACGCUGAAGAGAGGAGCUUGCUCUUCUUGGAUGAGUUGCGAACGGGUGAGUAACGCGUAGGUAACCUGCCUUGUAGCGGGGGAUAACUAUUGGAAACGAUAGCUAAUACCGCAUAACAAUGGAUGACACAUGUCUUUUAUUUGAAAGGGGCAAUUGCUCCACUACAAGAUGGACCUGCGUUGUAUUAGCUAGUAGGUGAGGUAAUGGCUCACCUAGGCGACGAUACAUAGCCGAACUGAGAGGGUGAGCGGCCCCACUGGGACUGGGACACGGCCCAGACUCCUACGGGAGGCAGCAGUAGGGAAUCUUCGGCAAAGGGGGCAACCCUGACCGAGCAACGCCGCGGGAGUGAAGGAGGGUUUCGGAUCGUAAAGCUCUGUUGUAAGUCAAGAACGGGUGUGAGAGUGGAAAGUUCACACUGUGACGGUAGCUUACCAGAAAGGGACGGCUAACUACGUG
RNAcentral lists this ribosomal RNA (497 nucleotides) under uncultured bacterium. Its description in RNAcentral is "partial 16S ribosomal RNA". It matches the Rfam family "Bacterial small subunit ribosomal RNA", at positions 28 to 507 of the family's 1533-position model. The record is from RNAcentral.